AGCAGUGAGGAAUAUUGGUCAAUAGCCUAACGGCUGAACCAGCAAUUUGGAAGAAUGUUUAGCAAUAGCUGAUUGCACCUUUAAACAGUAAGUGCGAAAUUGAUUAAAUCAAAUAAAAUUCUAGGUAGACUUAUGAUAAUGACAAAGCCUACCUAAGUCUUGACCAAAUUACGUGCCAGCAGUCGCGGUAAUACGUAAAAGACUAGUGUUAUUCAUCUUUAAUUGGUUUAAAGGGUACCUAGACAGUAAAUAAAGCCUUAGUGGGAACUAAUUUGCUAGAGUUACUUAUAAGGGGGUAUUAAAGUACUGCAGGUGUAGAGAUGAAAUUUUGUUAUACCUCUUUUCACAAGAAAAACUAUGGCACAGGUAUAGGUGAAAACAUCCCCUUAUGUGAUAACUGACGUUGAAGGACGAAGGA
Molecule: ribosomal RNA, 418 nt
Filed under: Metus conglomeratus
Lineage: Eukaryota; Fungi; Ascomycota; Lecanoromycetes; Lecanorales; Cladoniaceae
Description: SSU rRNA
Rfam family: Bacterial small subunit ribosomal RNA
Source: RNAcentral